UUGUGUAGUGCGAUGUGGGGACGGAUCUUAAUAGGUCAUCCGGGUGUUGGAUAUCCCGGUUUAGGCAGAUGUAGGCGACAGGUAGGCAAAUCCGCCUGUCAUAUACCGAGGCUGCCGAUCGAGCGAGCUUGCUCGCGAAGUGAUUGAACGAGGUUCCAGGAAAAGCCACUAAGCUUCAGCUACACACGACCGUACCGCAAACCGACACUGGUGCGCGAGAUGAGUAUUCUAAGGCGCUUGAGAGAACUCGGGAGAAGGAACUCGGCAAAUUGACACCGUACUCCGGAAGAAGGUGUGCCCUAGUAGUGUGAAGUGAACAACGGAGCAUGAAUGGGUUGCAAAAAAUCGGUGGCUGCGACUGUUUAUUAAAAACACAGCACUCUGCAAACACGAAAGUGGACGUAUAGGGUGUGACGCCUGCCCGGUGCUGGAAGAUUAAAUGAUGGGGUGCAAGCUCUUGAUUGAAGUCCCAGUAAACGGCGGCCGUAACUAUAACGGUCCUAAGGUAGCGAAAUUCCUUGUCGGGUAAGUUCCGACCUGCACGAAUGGCGUAACGAUGGCCACACUGUCUCCUCCCGAGACUCAGCGAAGUUGAAAUGUUUGUGAUGAUGCAAUCUCCCCGCGGAAAGACGGAAAGACCCCAUGAACCUUUACUGUAGCUUUGUAUUGGACUUUGAACAGAUCUGUGUAGGAUAGGUGGGAGGCUUUGAAGCAGGGUCGCUAGAUCUUGUGGAGCCAACGUUGAAAUACCACCCUGGUGUGUUUGAGGUUCUAACCUAGGUCCAUUAUCUGGAUCGGGGACAGUGCAUGGUAGGCAGUUUGACUGGGGCGGUCUCCUCCCAAAGCGUAACGGAGGAGUUCGAAGGUACGCUAGUUACGGUCGGACAUCGUGACGAUAGUGCAGUGGCAUAAGCGUGCUUAACUGCGAGACUGACAAGUCGAGCAGAUGCGAAAGCAGGACAUAGUGAUCCGGUGGUUCUGUAUGGAAGGGCCAUCGCUCAACGGAUAAAAGGUACUCUGGGGAUAACAGGCUGAUACCGCCCAAGAGUUCAUAUCGACGGCGGUGUUUGGCACCUCGAUGUCGGCUCAUCUCAUCCUGGGGCUGUAGCCGGUCCCAAGGGUAUGGCUGUUCGCCAUUUAAAGAGGUACGUGAGCUGGGUUUAAAACGUCGUGAGACAGUUUGGUCCCUAUCUUCCGUGGGCGCUGCAGAUUUGAGGAAGCCUGCUCCUAGUACGAGAGGACCGGAGUGGACGCACCUCUGGUGUAUCGGUUGUCACGCCAGUGGCAUUGCCGAGUAGCUAUGUGCGGAAGAGAUAACCGCUGAAAGCAUCUAAGCGGGAAACUCGUUCCAAGAUGAGAUCUGCCGGGGCCUUGAGCCCCCUAAAGAGUCGUUCAAGACCAGGACGUUGAUAGGUCAGGUGUGGAAGCGCAGUAAUGCGUUAAGCUAACUGAUACUAAUUGCUCGUGCGGCUUGACCC
Molecule: ribosomal RNA, 1478 nt
Filed under: metagenome
Description: bacterial LSU rRNA
Rfam family: Bacterial large subunit ribosomal RNA
Source: RNAcentral